GAUCGGGAAAGUUGAGCCAGGCGGAUAGCUACCCGAGUAUGUGAGAUGGCAAGACUGAGCCGGGCGGAUAGUCUUGUCAAGUGGUUACUGAAAUUUAAAAAUGUGAGGAAAUGUAAGGAUGAGUCAUCUGAUCCUAAUUUGAUAGAAAUAAUGUGAAAUUGAAUUAUUUGACUUGGUUGAGUUUGAGAUUAUUUGCAUUACGUGAGAUGAAAUUAUAUGUUUAUGAGAAUAACUGAAAUGGUUGAUUUUGUGAUUGUUAGUUAAGUGUUGGUAUAAUUUUCUGUAUCGAUAAAGAUUUGAUAAUUCUAGCCUAAUAUACUAUAGUUUAGUAAAUUAAAUGCUUAUUGAGUCGCUAGCUCAU
Molecule: long non-coding RNA, 361 nt
Filed under: Ricinus communis (castor bean)
Lineage: Eukaryota; Viridiplantae; Streptophyta; Magnoliopsida; Malpighiales; Euphorbiaceae
Description: long non-coding RNA (RCOM_LNC003636)
Source: RNAcentral